RNAcentral lists this ribosomal RNA (1273 nucleotides) under metagenome. RNAcentral describes it as "bacterial SSU rRNA". It matches the Rfam family "Bacterial small subunit ribosomal RNA", at positions 202 to 1470 of the family's 1533-position model. The record is from RNAcentral.
GCAAGGCCUUGCGCUCUUUGAGCGGCCGAUGUCAGAUUAGCUAGUUGGUGAGGUAAAGGCUUACCAAGGCGACGAUCUGUAGCGGGUCUGAGAGGAUGAUCCGCCACACUGGAACUGAGACACGGUCCAGACUCCUACGGGAGGCAGCAGUGGGGAAUUUUGGACAAUGGGGGCAACCCUGAUCCAGCCAUGCCGCGUGAGUGAAGAAGGCCUUCGGGUUGUAAGCUCUUUCGGCCGGGAAGAAAUCGCAUGGGCCAAUACCCUGUGUGGAUGACGGUACCGGAAUAAGAAGCACCGGCUAACUACGUGCCAGCAGCCGCGGUAAUACGUAGGGUGCGAGCGUUAAUCGGAAUUACUGGGCGUAAAGCGUGCGCAGGCGGUUUUGUAAGACAGGCGUGAAAUCCCCGGGCUUAACCUGGGAACUGCGUUUGUGACUGCAAGGCUAGAGUACGGCAGAGGGGGGUGGAAUUCCACGUGUAGCAGUGAAAUGCGUAGAGAUGUGGAGGAACACCAAUGGCGAAGGCAGCCCCCUGGGUCGAUACUGACGCUCAUGCACGAAAGCGUGGGUAGCAAACAGGAUUAGAUACCCUGGUAGUCCACGCCCUAAACUAUGUCAACUAGGUGUUGGGUGGGUAAAACCAUUUAGUACCGUAGCUAACGCGUGAAGUUGACCGCCUGGGGAGUACGGCCGCAAGGUUAAAACUCAAAGGAAUUGACGGGGACCCGCACAAGCGGUGGAUGAUGUGGAUUAAUUCGAUGCAACGCGAAAAACCUUACCUACCCUUGACAUGCCAGGAACUUGCCAGAGAUGGCUUGGUGCCCGAAAGGGAGCCUGGACACAGGUGCUGCAUGGCUGUCGUCAGCUCGUGUCGUGAGAUGUUGGGUUAAGUCCCGCAACGAGCGCAACCCUUGUCGUUAAUUGCCAUCAUUUAGUUGGGCACUUUAACGAGACUGCCGGUGACAAACCGGAGGAAGGUGGGGAUGACGUCAAGUCCUCAUGGCCCUUAUGGGUAGGGCUUCACACGUCAUACAAUGGUCGGUACAAAGGGUUGCCAAGCCGCGAGGCGGAGCCAAUCCCAGAAAGCCGAUCGUAGUCCGGAUUGCAGGCUGCAACUCGCCUGCAUGAAGUCGGAAUCGCUAGUAAUCGUGGAUCAGCAUGUCACGGUGAAUACGUUCCCGGGUCUUGUACACACCGCCCGUCACACCAUGGGAGCGGGUUCCGCCAGAAGUAGGUAGCCUAACCGCAAGGGGGGCGCUUACCACGGCGGGGUUC